CGGCAUUAUUGUGACAGAUUUACAAAACAAUACACUUAUAAAAUAGUUCAUGUGCCGAAUUGUAGGCUGUUUGCCUGACAGUGUUGCAGCCAAUCAAAAUUUAAACUUGAAAAUGCUUUCUUAAAUGCUUUAUAAUGUUUUAAGAUGAAAGUUUCUGCAUAUUUUCAUAUAAAGAUUUUUUAAAGUAGCUUUCUUGUUAUUUGAUCCCUUGCAACUAAAGUUUAAGCACAUAAACUGAAUACGACACAGAAGCAAUUAUAAAACCCCUUAAUCUGAAAAUAAAUAAACAAAUAAACCAGUUGUCUUAACUUAGUUUUGUGCAACCGGUUGUUCUUAAGCAAAUAAUGUAUCAAGCAUCAGAGCCACAGAAAGACAGUGAGGGAGAAAGACAAAGAUACAGCGGGUCUUGACAGCUGACCUCUCGGGUCUGACCCCGUCCUCUCUGUUUCCACAGGCCAUUCCACAACUCUCCUGCCAACAUUUAAACACUUCCUGUAAGACAGGCGGGCGGCAGGAAGUUGCCUCGUUGACCGGAGACGCUUCAGUUGAGAGCAUGAAAGAACCGUAAGCGUGCCGAUCCUGCAGUCUGUCCAGAGUUCCAGGCUCAUGUCUCCAGUUACCCGCUGGGCGCUGCUUGGUGAUGGGCAUCAUCCUUUUGGAUUCUGGGCGCUGGACCAGCAGUGGCUGCCAGGGCAGUUUACCCCCAACUGGACUUUAACACAGUACAGCACUUCAUACUGGGGAUGUUCCACAAAUGAACCGGGCUGCGUUGAGUUCUCAUGACACCGGGGCGCCUCAGGUGCUGAGCGCAGACCCAGAUCUGUCUACCUCCCCCUCCAGCGCUGUCUCAACCCUCUGGAAAUGAAUGAAACAGGAAGAGCUGAGGUGAGGACAGGAAAACAGACACGCCCACACAUCCUCAACUCCUGAAUGAUUGAGAAAAAGAUGGACUGGGAGUGAGAGCAGGAUAGAGUUGUGUGGUUGACCACAUCCUUCCUCUCUGUCCUUUCAGGUUUUCAAAAUCUUCCUAACAUUCAUUCUUUAAAUAAUCCUGUGUAUUUGCAUCUGCAUUUAUGCAUUUUGCAGAAAAGUUUUGCAUUCUUUGCAUUUCCUGGGAAUCGAACACAUGACCUUGGUUGACAUUGCUUGCUGUUAUUAUUUAAAUUAAAAAAGUGAGUAUUUUACAUUUAAAAUUUUCCAAAAGCAAAUAAUGGUGUUGCAAAAUAAUACUGUUAGAGACUUUGCUUAUAAUAAAUACAUAAAUAAAUAAAAUCUAAGUCAAUGGGGAACUUCAAUCCUAAUCUUAUGAAAUAAUAAAUAAUAAAAUGUCUAAUGUCUAAAUGUCUAAUAUCUUUAAUUUUAAAUUUGUACAUUUUUAAAGUUUUAUGAAGCAAAUAAUGGUAUCACAUAAUAAUAUUUAGUUACAGGUUUUGGUUAAGUCGAUGGGGAA
Long non-coding RNA from Cyprinus carpio carpio, 1450 nucleotides. The record is from Ensembl. NCBI's taxonomy places the organism in Eukaryota, Metazoa, Chordata, Actinopteri, Cypriniformes, Cyprinidae.